AAAUGUCAGAGACCAUGUGUGGGGAAAAACUUAUGACCAGGAACAAGAUAAUUGUCAGAGACCAUGUGUGGGGAAAAACUUAUGACCAGGAACAAGAUAAGGGUUUCUGAGAACCUGAACAAACAAGUUACCACCUGGAAACUGGCCUCGUUAGACCAAGGGCCGCAAACCAUAAAAAUUCUUCACAUUCCCUCCUGUUACAACCCAUCCUUAAUCACCCCCCCCCCACCUCAAGUGUAUAUAUUCUUGCCCUGCGCCUGCAAUAAACGAGCCUUGGCACUAUUAGACAGACUCUGUCUUUCUUGCAUGCUUGGUCUCCCCUCUCUCCCCCUAUGGUCUUUUAGGUGGCUGCUUCACGGACCCCACAGUUGUAGUAAGAUGGCUUACCGGACGUCUGAGGAACAAAUUCCGCGGACAAAGGAAGGGUAGAGGCUGGACAGACAGCCUUGAGGCAGGGAAAGUACAGAAUGAUCCUGAUUUGCUUGAUCCUGUUCCUGAGCAUUUGCCCCUCGUCAACGAGCCCUGAGAGCCCUCAUCUUCUCGUACACCAAACAUGGGAACUCAUUAACCCUAUUAAUCAAUUCACCAUCAUUCUAGGUAUUGGGGGUCUUGCUGCCGGCAUUGGUACUGGCACCACCGCUCUCCUACAGACCCAACACCUUGCAGCUCUACAUUCUGCUAUGACAUCUGACCUUGAAGCCCUAGAAAAAUCUGUUUCUGCUUUAGAGAAAUCCCUAUCCUCCCUCUCAGAAGUUGUACUACAGAACAGACGUGGCCUCGACCUGCUUUUUUUUAAAAGAAGGGGGAUUGUGCGCAGCCCUUAAAGAAGAAUGCUGCUUUUAUGCUGACCACACGGGCGUGGUCAGAGAGUCAAUGGCAAAAUUGAGAGAACGCCUAGCCCUUAGAAAAAGGGAGGCUGAGGCCCACGAAGGAUGGUACAAUAACCUUUUGAGAAGUUCCCCUUGACUUUCUACCCUAAUUCCUACGAUACUAGUUCCCUUUAUUAUCUUUCUCCUAAUUCUUACUUUUGGCCCUUGGGCUCUCCAACGCCUGACUGGAUUUAUCAAAUCAAACAUUGACUCAGCCCUUACUAAGUUCCCUAUGGUCCAAUACCAUCGUAUUGAAAUAGCAGAUGCUGACCAACCACAUACCUCGGUUGACUCGGACCGCCUUCAAUUCACUAGCAGGGUGGUAACCCAAUGACGGGAAUAGCACAGGUCCUCGACCCCUGAUGAUCGAGUAACUCCCCCUGUGUAGCCUAAGACAGGGGCCGUCGCUGCGGUCCUGACUUAAUAACCUUCCCUCUAAUAAAAAAGAAAGGGGGAAUUGUCAGAGACUAUGUGUGGGGAAAAACUUAUGACCAGGAACAAGAUAAUUGUCAGAGACCAUGUGUGGGGAAAAACUUAUGACCAGGAACAAGAUAAGGGUUUCUGAGAAUCUGAACAAACACCUUGAAAAUCUUAAAGCACAGUGAAUUAAAUACAAGGUUUGGAACAGGGAAAACCUGAGUUUCACUAUAGCUUCAGACUUUUCCUAGAAGUGUGACCUUGGGCAAGUCACUUGACACCAAUUGCCUAGCCCUUGCCACUCUUUUGUCUUAGAACUGAUACUAAGACAGAAGGUAAAGGUUUUAAUAAAACAAAAGAUAAUCUUAAAACUCUCCCUCUCCCUCCCCUCUCUCUCUCUCUCUCUCUCUCUCUCUCUCUCUCUCUCUCUCUCUCUCUCUCUCUCUCUCUCUCUCUCUCUCUCCCUCUCUCUCCCUCUCUCUCUCUCUCUCUCUCUCUCUCUCUCUCUCUCUCUCUCUCUCUCUCUCUCUCUCUCCUCUAUAUAUUUAUAAGAAUCAUAUAUGAAUACAUAUGUGUAUAGGAUGAGAAGUAAGCAUAGUCCAUAUGCCUGUAUGAUAUCUAUGUAUAUGUUUGUGUGUAUAGAAUAUAAACUAUACAUGGAAAUAAAAGUUCUUAUAAAUAUGGAAAAAAAAAAGAAUCUGAACAAACAAGUUACCACCUGGAAACUGGCGUCGUUAGACCAACGGCCACAAACCAUAAAAAUUCUUCACAUUCCCUCCUGUUACAACCCGUCCUUAAUCACCCCCCCCCCACACACACCUCAAGUGUAUAUAUUCUUGCCCUGUGCCUGCAAUAAACGAGCCUUGGCACUCUUA
Molecule: non-coding RNA, 2161 nt
Organism: Monodelphis domestica (gray short-tailed opossum)
Lineage: Eukaryota; Metazoa; Chordata; Mammalia; Didelphimorphia; Didelphidae
Source: RefSeq, a predicted model, not a curated record